This 950-nucleotide long non-coding RNA is filed under the name Brassica napus (rape). RNAcentral's name for it is "long non-coding RNA (BNAP_LNC011607)". The record is from RNAcentral. Lineage: Eukaryota; Viridiplantae; Streptophyta; Magnoliopsida; Brassicales; Brassicaceae.
UUGGUCUGUAUUUUCGGCCGGCGGUGGUGCGCUCCUUUGGCCACAUCGUCGGUCGGAUUGUCUUUCCUAUUUCUUUUUAGCUGUAUCUUUGGUUUCUUUUUGUCUACCAGUGAUUAUUAUCUUCAUACAUGCUCUAAACAUUUGUAGAUCCAGAUCGAUAGAUCCCUUCUCGGUUAUCCUUGAAUGUUGGUGGUAGAUCUUCUGGUGCAUGAUCUCGUCCCUCUGCUGGCUCCGGGUUCGGUUGAUCUAAGCACUGAAGGGUCUUGUUUCUAGAUUCACGGAUCUGAAUUUGGUUCAAGCUUCCUUUUUAUGUGCGCUUUUUAUGCUUUGGUUGGUUGCUUCAAGAGUUGAAGAUCUCGUUUUCAGGAGGAGCGCUUCUCCUUGGUUUCGUUUGCGAUGUCCGGUUCCUGUGCAUGUCAUUAUUCUCUUCUCCAUCAGAGUUUUCCGGCUAUGCUAAAGGAGUUGGAGCCUUGGCUCUUAGUCAACAUGUCGAUUGGUAAUUCAAGUUCUUCUCCUCGUCUACCCGGUUUGGAUUCAAAUGGUUUGUUCUCGUGGCUCUUGUUGAUCGUUGGAGCAGUAUAAUGAGACCCAUAUUGAAGAUCCAGCCUCAAUAAUUCGACUUUGGUGAUACGCUUAUCUCUUCUCCUCCUGAUUUCAAGCGUCUUCAGCUUCUUGAGUGUCUUGUUGUUUAUGAUUUUACUUAUGUUUGAGUUGUAUGAAUGUAUAAUCACUGUGUUUGUUUGGGUUAGUUUCCGGGGAAUUAUCUUCUUUCCGCCGGCUUUAGUUUCCAGGGAUUGUCCUUCAUCCGCUGGCUUUGUUUCCGGGGGUUUUGGUUAAACUCGCUGGCUCUGUAUCAAUCUGUAUGUUCUCACUUUGAUGAAUAUAAUCUUCUAGUGCUUAAAGAAAAAAGUAAUUAAAUUAUCCAAGAUUUAAAUAGUGGAAGGAUGCUU